UCCAGAGAUGGAUUUGUGCCUUCGGGAACUGUGAGACAGGUGCUGCAUGGCUGUCGUCAGCUCGUGUUGUGAAAUGUUGGGUUAAGUCCCGCAACGAGCGCAACCCUUAUCCUUUGUUGCCAGCGGUCCGGCCGGGAACUCAAAGGAGACUGCCAGUGAUAAACUGGAGGAAGGUGGGGAUGACGUCAAGUCAUCAUGGCCCUUACGACCAGGGCUACACACGUGCUACAAUGGCGCAUACAAAGAGAAGCGACCU
Molecule: ribosomal RNA, 256 nt
Filed under: Salmonella enterica subsp. enterica serovar Thompson
Lineage: Bacteria; Pseudomonadati; Pseudomonadota; Gammaproteobacteria; Enterobacterales; Enterobacteriaceae
Description: partial 16S ribosomal RNA
Rfam family: Bacterial small subunit ribosomal RNA
Source: RNAcentral